UCAGUGAAGGAAACAAUCAGCAAAACGAAAAAGCAACCUUCGGAAUGGGAUAAGAUACUUGCAAAUGAUCUAUCAGAUAAAUAUAGUAUCCAAAAUCUAUAAAGAACUUGUCAAAGUCAACACCCAA
This is a long non-coding RNA of Leopardus geoffroyi (Geoffroy's cat), 127 nucleotides long. RefSeq lists it as uncharacterized. Lineage: Eukaryota; Metazoa; Chordata; Mammalia; Carnivora; Felidae. The transcript is spliced from 2 exons. The record is from RefSeq and is a predicted model, not a curated record.